GCUGGGCAUGGUGGUGUAUGCCCGUAAUCCCAGCUACUUGGGAGGCUGAGGCAGGAGAAUUGCUUGAACCCUGGAGGCAGAGGUUACAGUGAGCCAGAAUCGUGCCACUGCACUCCAGCCUGGGUGACAAAGUGAGAUCCUGUCUCAA
Molecule: unclassified non-coding RNA, 148 nt
Organism: Macaca fascicularis (crab-eating macaque)
Lineage: Eukaryota; Metazoa; Chordata; Mammalia; Primates; Cercopithecidae
Rfam family: Metazoan signal recognition particle RNA
About the family: The signal recognition particle (SRP) is a universally conserved ribonucleoprotein.
Source: Ensembl